RNAcentral lists this ribosomal RNA (971 nucleotides) under Leucotrichia pictipes. Its description in RNAcentral is "SSU rRNA". It matches the Rfam family "Eukaryotic small subunit ribosomal RNA", at positions 49 to 963 of the family's 1831-position model. Lineage: Eukaryota; Metazoa; Arthropoda; Insecta; Trichoptera; Hydroptilidae. The record is from RNAcentral.
CCAUGCAAGUCUCAGUAUAAGCCGAAUUAAGGUGAAACCGCGAAUGGCUCAAUAUAUCAGUUUUGGUUCCUUAGAUCGUACAUAGUUACUUGGAUAACUGUGGCAAUUCUAGAGCUAAUACAUGCAAACGUAGCUCCGACCGGUGACGGAAGGAGUGCUUUUAUUAGAUCAAAAACCAAUCGGCGCGUCGCCCUAGCGGGUGGCGCGUCGCAAUCUAUAGAUGACUCUGGAUAACUUUGAGCGGAUCGCACGGUCCAGCACCGGCGACGCAUCUUUCAAAUGUCUGCCUUAUCAACUGUCGAUGGUAGUUUAUGCGACUACCAUGGUUGUCACGGGUAACGGGGAAUCAGGGUUCGAUUCCGGAGAGGGAGCCUGAGAGACGGCUACCACAUCCACGGAAGGCAGCAGGCGCGCAAAUUACCCACUCCCGGCACGGGGAGGUAGUGACGAAAAAUAACGAUACGGGACUCGUCCGAGGCCUCGUGAUCGGAAUGAUUACACUUUAAAUCCUUUAACGAGGAUCCAUUGGAGGGCAAGUCUGGUGCCAGCAGCCGCGGUAAUUCCAGCUCCAAUAGCAUAUACUAAAGUUGUUGCGGUUAAAAAGCUCGUAGUUGAAAUUGUGUCCUGCGGCGUCGGUCCACCUUUUGCGGUGCGACAGGCGCGUCUGCGGGACUUCUCGCCGGUGCGCGUUUUAAUGUCGCUCGGCGGCGGCGCCUUCGCGGGCGUUCGCUCCGGCGAUGAGACGUCGCGGCUGUUUACUUUGAACAAAUUAGAGUGCUCAAAGCGGGCUUAUUUUCGCCUGAAUAUUGUACGCAUGGAAUAAUAGAAUAGGACCUCGGUUCUGUUUUGUUGGCUUUCUGAUACCAGAGGUAAUGAUUAACAGGGACAACUGGGGGCAUUCGUAUUGCGACGUUAGAGGUGAAAUUCUUGGAUCGUCGCAAGACGAACUAAAGCGAAAGCAUUUGCCAAAG